This 432-nucleotide ribosomal RNA is filed under the name uncultured bacterium. Its description in RNAcentral is "partial 16S ribosomal RNA". It matches the Rfam family "Bacterial small subunit ribosomal RNA", at positions 29 to 507 of the family's 1533-position model. The record is from RNAcentral.
ACGAACGCUGGCGGCAUGCCUAACACAUGCAAGUCGCACGAGACCUUCGGGUCUAGUGGCGCACGGGUGCGUAACGCGUGGGAACCUGCCUUUAGGUUCGGAAUAACUCAGAGAAAUUUGAGCUAAUACCGGAUGAUGUCUUCGGACCAAAGAUUUAUCGCCUUUAGAUGGGCCCGCGUUGGAUUAGCUAGUUGGUGGGGUAAAGGCCUACCAAGGCGACGAUCCAUAGCUGGUCUGAGAGGAUGAUCAGCCACACUGGGACUGAGACACGGCCCAGACUCCUACGGGAGGCAGCAGUGGGGAAUAUUGGACAAUGGGCGAAAGCCUGAUCCAGCAAUGCCGCGCGAGUGAUGAAGGCCUUAGGGUUGUAAAGCUCUUUUACCCGAGAUGAUAAUGACAGUAUCGGGAGAAUAAGCUCCGGCUAACUCCGUG